AGUGAACGCUGGCGGUAGGCCUAACACAUGCAAGUCGAAGGGCAGCACAGUAAGAGCUUGCUCUUACGGGUGGCGAGUGGCGGACGGGUGAGGAAUACAUCGGAAUCUACUUUUUCGUGGGGGAUAACGUAGGGAAACUUACGCUAAUACCGCAUACGACCUACGGGUGAAAGCAGGGGAUCUUCGGACCUUGCGCGAUUGAAUGAGCCGAUGUCGGAUUAGCUAGUUGGCGGGGUAAAGGCCCACCAAGGCGACGAUCCGUAGCUGGUCUGAGAGGAUGAUCAGCCACACUGGAACUGAGACACGGUCCAGACUCCUACGGGAGGCAGCAGUGGGGAAUAUUGGACAAUGGGCGCAAGCCUGAUCCAGCCAUACCGCGUGGGUGAAGAAGGCCUUCGGGUUGUAAAGCCCUUUUGUUGGGAAAGAAAAGCAGCAGGUUAAUACCCCGCUGUUCUGACGGUACCCAAAGAAUAAGCACCGGCUAACUUCGU
RNAcentral lists this ribosomal RNA (491 nucleotides) under uncultured bacterium. RNAcentral's name for it is "partial 16S ribosomal RNA". It matches the Rfam family "Bacterial small subunit ribosomal RNA", at positions 29 to 506 of the family's 1533-position model. The record is from RNAcentral.